RNAcentral lists this ribosomal RNA (249 nucleotides) under uncultured fungus. RNAcentral's name for it is "partial 26S ribosomal RNA". It matches the Rfam family "Eukaryotic large subunit ribosomal RNA", at positions 38 to 281 of the family's 3401-position model. Lineage: Eukaryota; Fungi. The record is from RNAcentral.
GCAUAUCAAUAAGCGGAGGAAAAGAAACCAACAGGGAUUGCCCUAGUAACGGCGAGUGAAGCGGCAAAAGCUCAGAUUUGAAAUCUGGCGUCAUAUUGGCGUCCGAGUUGUAAUCUGUAGAGGAGUAUUCGAGUGUGGCGCUGGCUUAAGUUCCUUGGAACAGGACGUCAUAGAGGGUGAGAACCCCGUUAACGGCCUUUGUCUUAUGCUCAUGUGAAUCUCCUUCAACGAGUCGAGUUGUUUGGGAAU